AAUAAGGUUAUGAUAAUUUAUUCCUAAACUUUCAAAAAGAGGAGUAAAUUGGAUAUCUGUUAGU
Stegodyphus mimosarum is the source of this 64-nucleotide non-coding RNA. Lineage: Eukaryota; Metazoa; Arthropoda; Arachnida; Araneae; Eresidae. The record is from Rfam.